AACGAACGCUGGCGGCGUGCCUAACACAUGCAAGUCGUGCGAGAACGGGGGGCAACUCCCUAGUACAGCGGCGCACGGGUGAGUAACACGUAGGUAAUCUACCCCCGAGUUCGGGAUAACCUACCGAAAGGUGGGCUAAUACCGGUUAUGACCACGGCGGUUUCGGCCGCUGCGGUGAAAGGUGGCCUCUACUUGUAAGCUACCGCUCGAGGAUGAGCCUGCGCGCCAUUAGCUAGUUGGCGGGGUAACGGCCCACCAAGGCGAUGAUGGCUAGCUGGUCUGAGAGGAUGGCCAGCCACACUGGAACUGACACACGGUCCAGACUCCUACGGGAGGCAGCAGUGGGGGAUAUUGCGCAAUGGGCGAAAGCCUGACGCAGCGACGCCGCGUGGGUGAUGAAGGCCUUCGGGUCGUAAAGCCCUGUCGAGGGGGAAGAACAGGUCGUGGUCGAAUAGCCCACGACUCUGACGGUACCCCUAAAGGAAGCACCGGCUAACUCCGUGCCAGCAGCCGCGGUAAUACGGAGGGUGCGAGCGUUGUUCGGAAUCACUGGGCGUAAAGCGCGUGUAGGCGGCUCAGUAAGUCUGGUGUGAAAGCCCGGGGCUCACCCCCGGAAGUGCACUGGAAACUGCGGAGCUCGAGUCCCGGAGAGGAGAGUGGAAUUCCUGGUGUAGCGGUGAAAUGCGUAGAUAUCAGGAGGAACACCGGUGGCGAAGGCGGCUCUCUGGACGGUGACUGACGCUGAGACGCGAAAGCGUGGGUAGCAAACAGGAUUAGAUACCCUGGUAGUCCACGCUGUAAACGAUGAGCACUAGGUGUCGCGGGUAUUGACCCCUGCGGUGCCGCCGCUAACGCAUUAAGUGCUCCGCCUGGGGACUACGACCGCAAGGUUAA
This 894-nucleotide ribosomal RNA is filed under the name uncultured delta proteobacterium. RNAcentral's name for it is "bacterial SSU rRNA". It matches the Rfam family "Bacterial small subunit ribosomal RNA", at positions 28 to 897 of the family's 1533-position model. The record is from RNAcentral. Lineage: Bacteria; Deltaproteobacteria.